This 688-nucleotide ribosomal RNA is filed under the name uncultured bacterium. RNAcentral describes it as "bacterial SSU rRNA". It matches the Rfam family "Bacterial small subunit ribosomal RNA", at positions 813 to 1500 of the family's 1533-position model. The record is from RNAcentral.
CGACUUGGAGGUUGUUCCCUUGAGGAGUGGCUUCCGGAGCUAACGCGUUAAGUCGACCGCCUGGGGAGUACGGCCGCAAGGUUAAAACUCAAAUGAAUUGACGGGGGCCCGCACAAGCGGUGGGGCAUGUGGUUUAAUUCGAUGCAACGCGAAGAACCUUACCUACUCUUGACAUCCACGGAAUUCGGCAGAGAUGCCUUAGUGCCUUCGGGAACCGUGAGACAGGUGCUGCAUGGCUGUCGUCAGCUCGUGUUGUGAAAUGUUGGGUUAAGUCCCGCAACGAGCGCAACCCUUGUCCUUUGUUGCCAGCGAGUCAUGUCGGGAACUCAAAGGAGACUGCCGGUGAUAAACCGGAGGAAGGUGGGGAUGACGUCAAGUCAUCAUGGCCCUUACGAGUAGGGCUACACACGUGCUACAAUGGCGCAUACAAAGAGAAGCGACCUCGCGAGAGCAAGCGGACCUCACAAAGUGCGUCGUAGUCCGGAUCGGAGUCUGCAACUCGACUCCGUGAAGUCGGAAUCGCUAGUAAUCGUGGAUCAGAAUGCCACGGUGAAUACGUUCCCGGGCCUUGUACACACCGCCCGUCACACCAUGGGAGUGGGUUGCAAGAGAAGUAGGUAGCUUAAACUUCGGGAGGGCGCUUACCACUUUGUGAUUCAUGACUGGGGUGAAGUCGUAACAAGGUAUC